This 492-nucleotide ribosomal RNA is filed under the name uncultured bacterium. RNAcentral's name for it is "partial 16S ribosomal RNA". It matches the Rfam family "Bacterial small subunit ribosomal RNA", at positions 29 to 507 of the family's 1533-position model. The record is from RNAcentral.
AGUGAACGCUGGCGGUAGGCCUAACACAUGCAAGUCGAACGGCAGCACAGUAAGAGCUUGCUCUUACGGGUGGCGGGUGGCGGACGGGUGAGGAAUACAUCGUAAUCUACUUUUUCGUGUGAGUUAACGUAGGUAAACUUACGCUAAUACCGCAUACGCCCUACGGGUGAGAGGAGGGGAUCUUCGCACCUGGCGCGAUUGAAUGAGCCGAUUAGGGAGUAGCUAGUUGGCGGGGUAAAGACCCACCAAGGCGACGAUCCGUAGCUGGUGUGGGAGGAUGGUCAGCCACACUGGAAGUUGGACACGCACCAGACUCCUACGAUAGGCAGCAGUGGGGAAUGGUAGACAAUGGGGGCAAGCCUGAUCCAGCGAUACCGCGUGUGUGAAGAAGGCCUUCGGUUUGGAAAGCCCUCUUGUGGGGAAAGAACAGCAGCCGGUUAAUACCCAGCUGUACUGACGGUAACCAAAGAAGAAGCACCGGCUAACUUCGUG